This 160-nucleotide ribosomal RNA is filed under the name Amanita ceciliae. Its description in RNAcentral is "5.8S ribosomal RNA". It matches the Rfam family "5.8S ribosomal RNA". Rfam says of the family: 5.8S ribosomal RNA (5.8S rRNA) is a component of the large subunit of the eukaryotic ribosome. It is transcribed by RNA polymerase I as part of the 45S precursor that also contains 18S and 28S rRNA. Functionally, it is thought that 5.8S rRNA may be involved in ribosome translocation. Lineage: Eukaryota; Fungi; Basidiomycota; Agaricomycetes; Agaricales; Amanitaceae. RNAcentral also lists the same sequence under 1 other name. The record is from RNAcentral.
ACAACUUUCAACAACGGAUCUCUUGGCUCUCGCAUCGAUGAAGAACACAGCGAAAUGUGAUAAGUAAUGUGAAUUGCAGAAUCCAGUGAACCAUCGAAUCUUUGAACGCAUCUUGCGCUCCUUGGCAUUCCGAGGAGCAUGCCUGUUUGAGUGUCAUUAA